GACGGGGGAUGCAAGUGUUAUCCGGAAUAAUUGGGCGUAAAGCGUCUGUAGGUGGUUUACCAAGUCUGUUGUUAAAAUCCAGGGCUUAACCCUGAUCCGGCAACAGAAACUAGUAAGCUUGAGUACGGUAGGGGCAGAGGGAAUUCUCGGUGUAGUGGUGAAAUACGUAGAUAUCGAGAAGAACACCAAUAGCGAAAGCACUCUGCUGGGCCGAAACUGACAUUGAGAGACGAAAGCUAGGGGAGCGAAAGGG
This 253-nucleotide ribosomal RNA is filed under the name uncultured Loriellopsis sp. RNAcentral describes it as "partial 16S ribosomal RNA". It matches the Rfam family "Bacterial small subunit ribosomal RNA", at positions 524 to 776 of the family's 1533-position model. The record is from RNAcentral. Lineage: Bacteria; Bacillati; Cyanobacteriota; Cyanophyceae; Nostocales; Symphyonemataceae.